Molecule: ribosomal RNA, 467 nt
Filed under: uncultured bacterium
Lineage: Bacteria
Description: partial 16S ribosomal RNA
Rfam family: Bacterial small subunit ribosomal RNA
Source: RNAcentral
GACGAACGCUGGCGGCGUGCUUAACACAUGCAAGUCGAACGGAAAGGCUCCAGCUUGCUGGAGUACUCGAGUGGCGAACGGGUGAGUAACACGUGGGUAAUCUGCCCUGCACUCUGGGAUAAGCCUGGGAAACUGGGUCUAAUACUGGAUAUGACCUUUCUCCUUAUGGGGUUUGGUGGAAAGUUUUUCGGUGUAGGAUGAGCCCGCGGCCUAUCAGCUUGUUGGUGGGGUGAUGGCCUACCAAGGCGACGACGGGUAGCCGGCCUGAGAGGGUGAUCGGCCACAUUGGGACUGAGGUACGGCCCAGACUCCUACGGGAGGCAGCAGUGGGGAAUAUUGCACAAUGGGCGGAAGCCUGAUGCAGCGACGCCGCGUGAGGGAUGACGGCCUUCGGGUUGUAAACCUCUUUCAGCAGGGACGAAGCGUAAGUGACGGUACCUGCAGAAGAAGCACCGGCUAACUACGUG